Long non-coding RNA from Homo sapiens (human), 3301 nucleotides. Ensembl annotates it as NOP14 antisense RNA 1. Its record names the gene NOP14-AS1. The record is from Ensembl. Lineage: Eukaryota; Metazoa; Chordata; Mammalia; Primates; Hominidae.
GCGGGUCGCUGCUUGGCUGUGGGUUAGCAGCACCCUGAGCGGAGCGGAAGAGCUGCCCGCCGCCGCGUAACCCCGAGGCCGAGACUCCUGGCCUGGCCUCCUUGGGCCCACGACGCCUGCCCCGCGGAGCGGACCCAUGGGCCUGAGGUUUGUGUGCGGGGCCUCAGGCGAGCGCUGGCGCAGCCUGUCCCCCAUCGUCUGCGCCCUGCGGGCCUGGCCCUCCCCGUGGAAGGACCGCGGGCUUCGGGGCCCCACGCUGGGGGGCUGACUCCUGCCACACACACAGCGGUGGCCGCGGGCCUGGGGCGGCAGCACAGCCAUUCUGCUCGGGCUGCGUGAGCUGACCCCGCUCUCUGUGCACCUACUUUUGCUGCGUUUGGUGCUGAGCCUGAAGUCCCAGGACAGGCGGCUGAGGGGGAAAGAUGGUGUGAAUUGGGUGGGCAGAGACAACUGAAAGCCACAGGACCCGGUUGGCACCUUUUUGGCCGCCUGCGCCUUUGCCUGCAGCCCCGCUCCCUGGGUCACCCGAAGGAGGAGCUGGCGCUCUUUCCGGGCGCAGAAGCACCCGACCCACGCUGGAGGAAACGGUCCCUCUGGGCAGGAGAAGCUUUGGGCCUGGCUGGAGCACACUCACGGAACCACGCCAACGCCUGGCCUGUAGCCAGCUCCCACCUCCCCUCCCACCUUCUAAAAUGCUUGCGGAUCUCACGUGGCCGACCCUAACCAGAUACACAUGGGGAAAGGAAUCAGGUGGCACACAUACCGCCUUUACUCCAUAGAGAACUUCCAAUUGUGGGUAAGAACAAAGCCCCACCUCUUCCUAAUAGAUGCAGUUUUCCACCUGCAGCCAAAAAGACAACCUGUUAUUAGCUUUUUUCCCAGAGGACAGGCAUCUCUAUGAAACUGCCAUUGCAAAAUUUGCCGACAGUGAGAUAACCAGCUCCAUUUUGCUUCUAACCUCCAUGCCCUCCUUGUUUACUGCUGCACGCAGGUUGAACUGUGGGAGGAACUUAGUUUAAAACAAAGAUGAUAACAGCCCUUUCCCAAAGGAAACCUUUCCUGGGGAUUAGCCUGCUUUUGUGGGACCAACAGAUUAGCCACAAGAUUAGAAACUACGGUUGAAGAGUCACGCAGCGGGAGGCUACAGGAUUCUGACCCUCCCCAAACUGCUCCUGGCGAUAACAUCACCAUCGUAAAGCCUAAGAUCAGCACUUGGUGGGUCACCUGGCACCACCCAGGCUCAUCUGAUGUUGUGGCACCCAGGAACUGACUCAGUGCGAAAACAGCUUCGACUCCCUGUGAUUUCAUCUCUGACCUGACCAAUGGGUACUUCUGACUCACUGGCUGCCCCCCACCCACCAGCUUAUCUUUAAAAACUCCAAACCCCAGAUGCUCAGGGAGACCGAGUAAUAAUAAAACUCCAGUCUCCCACACAGCUAGCUCUGCGUGAAUUACCUUUUCUCUGUUGCAAAUGCCCUUUCUUGAUAAAUUGGCUGUCUAGGUAACAGGGAAGGUGAACCCACUGGGCAGUUACACUUUUAUCCACCCUUCCAGCUGGAUCACGCGCCCUCUUCAAUGACAUGACACGCAGCUAGAGUGUAUGAGCUUGCUGCCGGCACCUUCCGUCCUGGAUCGCAUAGCAAGGCCUCAAUGGACAGCCAGGUGCCUGGUCCGGUCCCACUUUUUUUUCUGUCCUGUUCUCGUUUCCUCUUUGCUUGGCCAAAGAGGGUUGGGCCAGGGUCCUGAGUGCAAAGGCUUGGCUUGGUGAAUUAAAGUGGCAGUAGCCGUGUGGCAGAGAAAAUUUGUAGAUGGGUGAAAUCCUGGGCCUACACAGUGACAAAGUGUAUAUAGACAGCCAGCCUAGUUGGUGGAUGUGACAACCCCAGACUCUUCUAGAUUUGUGGAUCCGUGCACCUGCCAGACCUGUCUCUGAGCCAUCUGGGGAGGCUGGGUAAGAUUUCCCCCGUCAGGGCCUGAGCCUCAUCUCCAAGCUGCUGGCUUCAGCCCAGCUGCCACCAGCGCUGUCUCUGUCUUGCGCUUUCCAGAGAGAGACUGACUCAUUUUGAGCUCCAGGCCUACCAGGCAGCCCAACCGCGGCAGUAACUGCCUCUCACACUGAGGAUGGCUCAUGCUCUGGUCCAGCCAUGGCUUGAACACCUCCCAACAAGAACAAAGCCAGACUCAUUCUCCCUAGCAUCUUCUUCCUUGCUCAAAGAUCCCACACCCCGUUAGAAGCUGGAACUGGGUCCUUGUCACCUUCCUCACCUCCCCAGUCGUAGUCUGGUUAAUCCUUACAUCUCACCACGGUCACCGUGGCUAGAUGUGACCUCCGCGAUGCUUCAGGCACGUACCAGGGCAGCCUGGGCAGGGCUGGUCACUGUGAUCUCAUGAGGUGUGAACUUGACCCCGGCCUUCUUUCCUGGGAUGCCGGCUAAGGACACAAGUUCAGUGUUUGCCCUGGCUUGUAGCCCAGCGGGGGCUCCGUCAUCCCCUGGGGAAUGCCUCGGCCUGCAAGACCGCAUACCGCAUUGGAACAGGGAAACCACCUACUUCAGCACCUCCCUCAGCAAGGUGGCAGGUCCCAACAAGCCUUGCACCACGAGGAAGUGGCAGUGGCAUUCGGGAUAUGGCUCCCUGGCCAGCUUGUGAAGUUCAAGGGGCUCGUUACUUCUUACAGCUCACAGUCCCUCCCGGGUCCAGCACACCUGAGGGCUGACCUCCCUCUUGAUUAGUGCAGGGGAAAAGCACUUUAAAAAGCUGUGUCAUGCGUAACUUGCACAUCUUCUGAUUCUGACCUGAAACUGCAUCCCAGGUCGGCACAGACGCAACCCAGUCUCCUCCCACCUCCGAGAGUGCAGUGUCCUGAAUGGAGAACCCCAGCACCCAGAAGCAUCCACUGAAGGACGUACUUCUUUGAUAGUGCCUCCAUGCAUGCAGAAGAUGACGUGGAGAGCUCCGCGCGGCACAGGGCAGGAAGCUGGUGUGCACUCUCAUGGAUCCGAAGCCAACACACGCCUCUCAACUGAGGACUCUGCCCCUCUGGCAUUCUUCCAGCCACCAGCCCUGGGGGCCAGGAGCCACUGAGUGGGUCACACAGCCUUAGAGGGCAACGAGGGCAGGAGCUCGCCCUGGCGGUCCCCAUGCAGACAAGAGGUACACACUCCCUGGCAUGCAAAGCCACCCAACUGGGUUUCACUGAAGGGUGAGGGGCGGGGUGUCUACCGUGCUUUCCAAAUACCGCUCAGUCACCCAGAGCUUGAAACUUACAAUGAGCCACCCCAUCCCAGCCACAAAUCUAAAG